Vombatus ursinus (common wombat) is the source of this 932-nucleotide long non-coding RNA. RefSeq lists it as uncharacterized. NCBI's taxonomy places the organism in Eukaryota, Metazoa, Chordata, Mammalia, Diprotodontia, Vombatidae. The record is from RefSeq and is a predicted model, not a curated record. The transcript has 3 exons.
UACAAAGCCAGGCAAUUUCUGAGCCAAACAAACAAAGGAUGUGUAAGCGAUUUCAUUUAUUUUGAUAAUCCUCCUCCAACACUGGAGCAUUUUGCUGUCUUUGUCAAAGUGAAUGACAACAAUUUGGCCAACUCUCUCUGAGCUGCGCUCAACAGUGACAGGCAAAUUAUCAGAGGCCCUGCACUUCUUAUUAUCAGAGGAGAAGUCAUCAGGAGGACGCAUGGAGGAUCCCUCUCCCUUGUCACUAUUUGUCAGUGGGACAAGGGCCACUGCUAUGGGUAGCUGACAGGACCAAGAAAGGAAACAUUUGAAGGGAUGGAUAGAAAUGGAUGGUUUGUGAGACUGUCUAACUCUGAUUCAGAGCCCCUCAAACUAAAACCAAGUGGAUCAAACAUGCGUGUUGCCUAGACUGAGGUGAAGUUGAAUGGACACCCCAUAUAUACUGGACAGUCACAAUUAAAGGACAGUGAACUUGGCCCAAAACAGAAUUGGAGGAGAAAGAUGGACUGGUUUGCCUUUGGAAAUUGUACAGUGCUAUUCAAGACCCCAAGUUUCCAUAGAAAACAAAGUUUUUAUGUUUUUAAUACCAAGAUUCAUCUGGUGAUGAUGUCUGCCCUUGAGUCGAAGAAUGCUACAGUCUCUGAAGAAUUAAAGUUGCAGAGGGAAAUGGAGAGGCACAUGGGUGGAAGGAGGUUGCAACUGGGGAGAAGUGAAUAAAAGGAUAUUAUCAGAAGGACAAUCCUCAGGAAAAAGUGAUGAGCCAAUCAUGAAGUGAGAAUGAGAGAUGCUUGACAGACAGUCUUUAUAUUCUAUCAAUAUCUACACAAUUUCAAGGAAUUCAGAGGAAGACCCUUAGCACCUAAGUUGGGGGAGUAGGAUAUGGAAGAUUUAUAGGAAAAUGUGGACAAAUAUCACAUAAGAUGAGAAGUGUG